This 6814-nucleotide long non-coding RNA is filed under the name Sus scrofa (pig). RNAcentral describes it as "lncRNA (ENSSSCG00040040989.1)". The record is from RNAcentral. Lineage: Eukaryota; Metazoa; Chordata; Mammalia; Artiodactyla; Suidae.
UUUUUUUUUUUUUCUUUUUUGGCUGCCCUUCAGCAUUAUGGAUUUCCUGGGACAGGGAUCAGAUCUGAGCCAUGGUCACAACUUAAACCCCAGCUACAGCAACCCAGAUCUUUACCCCACUGUGCCAGGCCAGGGACUGAACCUGCAUCCCAGUGCUCCCAAGACACCACAGAUCCCACCACAGAUUGUGCCACAGUGGGAACUCAAAAUCAGCCUUAUUUUAGACUAAAAUUUAGCAUAUACUAAAGCACUUUAAAUCAGCAAUGUGAUUAUUCAAUACAUAAUACUAGAACUAUAAGUUAAUUUUUUAGCAAUCAAAUCAAACCCGUCUCACACCAUACAAUGAAAUAAAAUUAAGACAAGCUGAGAAUUAAAAACUUUUUUAACAAAAAAAAAGAAGAGAAAAAGAAGAAAGAGAAAAAAGAAAUGGAAGAAAUCAUAAAGCAACUAUAUGGGAAAAAAAUACGUUGGGCAGAAAAAAAAAAAUCUAAGUUUUGAGAGUUCCCAUUGUAACUCAGUGGAAAUGAACCUAACUAGUAUCCAUGAGGAUGCAGUUGGAUUCUGCUGAGCCACAAUGGGAACUCCGAGAUUCCUUCAAUUUUACAUACACUAGUGGGAGGGAAUGGCUUUGCUUAUGCUAUUCCUUUAGUCUGAAAUGUCUGCCUUCCACACGCACAACAGCACCUUAGAAGCCUGUAUUCUUUUAGGCACUGCCAGAUUUUCACCCUCGAUUCCCACCUUUCUCCUGAAGGGAAUCUUGAUCUGAUUCAGAUGUGCAGCCUUAUCCCACAGCACCCAUGAGCCUCAGGGAAAGCUGGCCCCACUGCUACCCCCAGAGAUGGGCAUGAAUGACUGAUGAUCAUGACUGGUUUAGAAGGCUUAGUGAAAGGUCUUGGGAAUAGGCAGGAUGGGCUAAGACAGUAGUUAGGAAGUUUGCUGGGAGGCUGCUAAGAAGGUAAUUUCUCAUUAGUAAAAGAUGGCAUCUGGACCAGACAGCCUCUGUCUUCCUCUGGAUAUUGUGGUAGUGAGGAGUUGCUAUGCCACUCUGCCUCCAAGGUAAUGAAAGGGAAUCACUGAGAACUAAAUCACUGGAUUCAGCUAUGCCUAAAGACUACCCUAGCUCUGAACCUCCAGUUAAAUGAGCUAAUGCCUCCCCUUAUUAUCUGAGCCAGAAUGAGUAUGGAUUUCUGUCAUGUGUGAAUAAAAGCUUCCUAACUGGUAGAAGAGAAUGGACAACUGCUGUUUCUACCAGGCAAGCAGCAUUUCUUAUUCUUCUAUAAAUUGAACCUUGGUUUUCCCUUUGGGAAUCAUGUCUUACCCAUUCUCAGUUCCUAUGGUCUAGGUGGGACUCACCUCUCCCCACUCUAAGGUCCAGAGUAGGCAAUGAAGCAAAUAGAACCUUCAGAACACUGGGUCUAAGUGGUUGGGAAGCUGUUACAAUAACCUACUGGGGCCAGUGAGGGAUCUAUGUAAGUCUCCUGCUAGAACUAUGGUAAAGAAAAACUCCUGUUCCACUGAAGAUGCUUACAUGGUAGAAUAUAAACCUAGAUCUGCUGGUAGCCAUCUUUCCAAAAAAAGAAAUGAGAUGGCUAAGAAUGAAGGAGAUAAUGGUAGAGCAAGGUCAAGAGAAAGAAAGAGAUAAUUGUUUUAGCACCUGGAUCCAUCUGUACCUGAAGCUAAUCACCAUCAGAUUGUUAAAUUAUGUGAGCUACUAAAUAAUCUUCUUUUUCUUAAAGUUUGAGACAGGUUUCUGUUCCAAGUCCUGCCAUUAUAUCUUGUCACCAAAGAACCACCAUCACCUUACAAUGUGCGUACGAGUCUGAUGUCCCAGACACAGUGAGCCUCUGCAAUAAAGACCAUGAUUUUCACCCUUUUAUCUUCCAUACCUAGAGAAGAAUCUGGCUCAUACCACCAAGGCACAGUAUGGUACUUGAAGCAAGUCAUUAAAACUCACCCAGGCUCAGUUUCCUAAUCUCAAAAACAAGACAUUUAACAACAAAGAUGACAGAUAAUAACAAGUGUUGGGGAGAAUGUGGAGAAAUCAGAACCCCCAUACAUUGCAAAUAGGUAUGUAAAGUAGUGCAGGUGCUUUGAAAACCAGUUUGGUAGUUCCUCAAAAGGUUAAACAAAGAAGAUACCAUAUGAUGCAGCAGUUCCACAACUCAAAACAUUCCUAGGAGAAUUAAAAACAUACGUCAACACAAAAACUUACAUAAAAAUGUUUGUAGUAGUCUUCAUCAUAAAAGCAAAAAGUGAAACAAGUGUCCAGCAAUGUAUGAAUGGAUAAACAAGAUGUGCUAUAGCUGUACAGUGGAAUAUUACUCUACCAUGAAAAAGAAUGAUAUAUUGAUUCAUGCUACAUAUUCAUUCAUGUUAAUGAAUCUUAAGAAUCAUUACAUGUAAUGAAAGAAGCCAAACACAAAUGGCCAUACACAUACUGUAUGAAUUCAUCUAUAUGCAAAUGUCGGGAAGAGACAAACCUAUAGAUAAAAAAUACAGUAGUUGCCAAGUGCAGAGCGGAUUACAAGGAAAUGGGGGAAGGGGGUGUGAAUGUUAAAGGGUAUAGGAUUUCUUUUGUAGGAAGUGAAAAUGUUCUAAAAUGGGCUGUGGUAAUGGUUAUACAACUGUGUGACCGUGCUAAAAACCACAACUGUAAAUUAGUAUACACUGUAAACUGGCAAAUUUAUGAAUUAUAUCUCAAUAAACCUGUUACCCCAAAAAAAUCAGUCAACUGAACCAGAUGGUGGCCAAGGUCUCUUGCCACCAUGACCUGCAGAUUCUCUACAGCAUUUUAGGUGAAAUAGGAAAGAUCUAACUAUGUGACUCUCGGCAAGCUCUUAAUCUCUCUGCAACUCAAUGUUCCCAUUUAUGAAAUGGAGAUGAAAGGUUGUUGUGAGGAUAGAAAGAAUUACACAUAUGAAGCAUUACAAUAGUGCCUGCACACACUAAGCAUUUUGAGAGUUCUGGCUAUUGCUGAGCUCCCAUUUGCUGAUGAGGCUUUUGCAUGUGGCCUCAGAUACAUCAAGGGCAAGUCAAAUUCUAUUCUAUGAAAGUCAUCAUCAUCAAGUACCACUAUGUGGCUUGUGAAGUAUUUUCAUUCACUACCCUGCUAACUCAAGAAAUUGCCAAAAUAUAUUCUCAUAUCAGUUUUGCUUUUUUUUUCUCCUAGAGAGUGGAGAAAAAAAAAAGAAGGAAAAUGCAAAUAAGUUACGGCAAGUAGCAAGUAAACAUUUUUCAUCCUCCACUUGCCAAACCAAGGCCUGAUGCCCCACCGCUACAAACUAUUUCCAUGUGUCUCCAUCCCAGGCGAAAAGGAUAAGGGGCCAAAUGUUUAGGCCUGAUGAUAGGAGUUUGGGUUUAAAACCAAGACUCUCCAACCAAGGCUCAGUUUUGGGUGUCUGCCCCCUGGCCGUCAAGAAAUGGGAGGAUUUGAAAGAGUUCUACAUGCAUCCUCUCAAUGCUUGUUUUUGCCUGGAUAGGAAAGGGGUAAUAAAAGUCACCAUGGGCACGAUCAAGAGAACCACAGUAGCUCCUAUGAUUUACUGGGAACGCCACGUCUUCUAGACUCUGCCCUAUUCCCAGUGAAUUACAUGUAUUAACCUAUCUAAUUCUCUCCACCAGCCUUACUGGGUAGGUACUAUCACACUAUUUUGUGGGUAAGAAAACUGAACCACAGAAAUGUUUAAUAACUUGUCCAAGGUCACAGCUCUUAAGUACCAAGGCUGGGGGGUUGAAGCAGACUGCCUAACUCAGUAUUCACUGCACUAAGCACUGGCUUGGAUUCUCAACCACACACAAUGGAACUGCUGCCUCCAGGCAUUUGAAUAAUAGAGGGGCCAAUAUUAGCCAACUCUCUCUGAAGGUUUAGCAGAAGCCAGAUAUUGGGCGUUAUGAGAAUCAUCAUCACAACAUCUCUAGUAUUAUCAUCACCAGACCAUUUUACAGAAGUGCAAACUGAGAGUAAGAAACCUACCCAAGAUCACUAAACACUAAGAAACCACACUGAGACUCGAGCUUGUUCGGUCUGGUUCAGAGACCAUGCAUGUCAGUAAUGGAAUGAUUUGGUUUUUCUAUUGGCAGAGCAGUCUUCCUCAAAUAGAAACCUGAACAAUGACUCGGGUUCCCACAGAUAUGUGAUCUAGCCACAUUCCUUCAUCUCUGUUUCUCCUUUUAUUUGGUAUUCCCUCCCAACCAAGAAGUCCCUCUGCCCCAGCCCUAAUCCCAUCCCUUCCUUUAGGAACAAAAGGAAGAGAGGAAUGAUGCCUCUGGCAGAUGCCUUUUCUAGAAAAUACGGGACGUGAGCAGAGUAAGGUUGGGGAAACGAAGGAAGCAGAAGGGAUGGCUGUGCAAAAUGAGGCAGUAACAGACUCAUGAGGGUGUGUGUGUAUGUUAAGGAGAGAAAGAGAGAGAGAUUGAGAUUGUGGCCACAGAGCAAAGAAUCAAGCUCAAGAAGAAGAAACAAAAUUCCAGCCAAGCAGAAGACUCGGGAACAGCUCUGAAGGCUCUGGCUGUGUCUGUCACAGGAUUAGUGAAAUUAUUUAAGAUAUCCUUGUACCAAAAGCAGGAACUGGAUGGGCACCUUCCACUUCUGAGUUCAACAAAGAAGUACAUAUGGAGCGGCUCCUCCAGGCCAAGCUGGGCAAACUUUAUCCAACUUGAUGCAAGUUGAAGGGCUCACAACAGGCCAAGAUGAGCAUCUGGCCAAAGAGAAAGAGAGAGACCUUCCCUACCAUGCAGGCAAGGCAGCCACAGUCUCUCCCUAAACCCUCCAGGAAAAAGCAGCAAAUUAAGCCGCAAGAAACAACACUCUCUCUAGAUACUACCAUGGGGCUAUCCAAAAACACUUGGAAAGCUUGGUAUUCUAGCCAUUCAAAUUUUUCUAUGUGUCAGAAUAUGGGGCAAUAAUGUAACGACCUCUCACAUCCAGCGUAAACUUUUAAACGCCAGAGACAUGGUGCCAGUCCACUUAGGAAAGGUACCUUGCCUGUUCCCAAGAGGAGGAGCCUCAAAGAUAACAUGAAGUGCUAAUGAACAACACGGCACCUGCAAUCCUGGGCCUCUGAAGGCCUAUCACUGUGCUCAACGCAGUCUCUGAGCAUAAGAAUGAAGGCUUUCCUCCCUCUACUAAGGAGCCAGGCAACUUGGUGCCAAACUGCAGUAUGACUUCACUCUCUGUAAUCCGCAUGGCACGUGGAAUACUCACAGCGUGCCAGAUUAUCAGUAAGGUGAUAACAUUUGUGUAUUAUACCUGCCUGGCACAAUUUGAAUGAGGCUCCCUCAGGCCGCCUAAGGUUUCGCUUCCUGUUUUCUGCACCUGCACCAAUUUCAGAAACAAAUAAAAACACCACACACAACCCUAUUUUGGGAGCUUAUUCAAAAGCGAAGUGGCCAAACCAACACAAUCAACAUAAACCCCAAAACACAACAAGGUAAUUAACCUGAGGUUCAGACUCACUCCAUGUCGGGGAAGUACGCCUCCUUCCACUUUUUAGCGAUCUCCGCAAAUUUCCACAUCUUGAAUCAUCUUACUUAUUUAAUGUGACUUUUAGCCAAUAGAGAGAACAGUCAUUAUCAUGAGGACCUACAUGCAUAAAGCUCCUUUCUAUACUUGCUAGGCACCAUGCAUCACAUUCUACCUGAAUUUCCUCAUUAAUCCAGAGAACAAAUGAAGUGAUUUCUAUUAUUACGUCCUCUUACAUACAGACAGACACACACCCAUUUAUGACAGAUGAAGGUAAAUUAGAAAGGUUAAUGGGCUUGAAGUCACCCAAUAAGUAUGAAAAGCCUCUGUAUACCCAAAUCUGUCAAACUCCAGACUCCUUGCCCUUAACCGCCAAGUCACAGUGUGACCAAAAACCAGAUGGCACUGAUCAUGAUCUGGGUACACCCAUAACCUUCGCCACCUACCUGGACAGUGUCCUUAGCAUUACUGAAACUCCUUAUCACUACAGUGAAACGGCUUUUGCAGAAUCUUUUUUAAAAAAAAAUGUGUAGAUAGAGAUUUAUAUUUCAGUGAACAGAGCAACAGUCCUUUCAGGAAGUUAGUUCUAUACCAACUGGGGAGGGUGAACAUUGAGAAAUGGAAAGGGAAGAAAUCAAAUCAUCCACCAAGGGAUUCAGUACUGUGGUCAACAAUGCCUCUGCCACUCUGUCCCUGGUGGAGCAUGAGGGGUGAAAACAGGGUAAGAAAGCUUCCUGGACUUUGGCCUGCCAUUCAGCAUCACCCAAGGACAGCAAUCCCUGGAGAUGCCAGGACUAGAGCAGACAUGAAAGCAAUUCCCUAGCAGUAUCUCUGUAACAUAAAUUUACUAUUAAGAUACGUUAUUUUGCUUUUUACCAAUUCAUUAUAUAAAAUCUACAGUGUGAAAGAGUCUCCACCAAAUACACGAAUUUGGGGCAGGGGGUGGAGGGGUGACCAAGAGAAGCCAAAGAGACUCAAUGGGAAAUUCAAAUCAAGAAUUGUGCAAGACGACACCUGCCUUCUGGCCUAAUAGAAAAAUCAAUCUGUCAGGUUUUAAUUAAGUGCUCAGGCUAGAAAUAAAAGGCGGCAGCUUCUACUUGGUCUCCUACCUAGUAGAGUCUUGAUAAUCAAAAGGCAGCUGGAAGUCGUAUUUGUUACAGAAAUGGUAAAUAUGUGCAGAGAUGACUCACUGGCUUCAGGGCGGCAGUGUAUUUCGUAAAUAAAAGGUGGAACAAGAUGAAUCUCAUAAGCUUGUUGACAACGAUCUCUGUGAAUAAUGACAUUUGGAAGUCUAAAUGAUGUUGUAUUAGAACAUCUUACUGAAAAUGUGCAAGAAAAAAAAAAAAAAAAAAA